GUAUCAUGGCUCAGGAUGAACGCUAGCUACAGGCUUAACACAUGCAAGUCGAGGGGGCGAGCAGUGGUCUUAGCUUGCUAAGGCUGAUGGCGACCGGCGCACGGGUGAGUAACACGUAUCCAACCUGCCGUCUACUCUUGGCCAGCCUUCUGAAAGGAAGAUUAAUCCAGGAUGGGAUCAUGAGUUCACAUGUCCGCAUGAUUAAAGGGUAUUUUCCGGGUAGACGAUGGGGGA
RNAcentral lists this ribosomal RNA (234 nucleotides) under uncultured bacterium. RNAcentral describes it as "partial 16S ribosomal RNA". It matches the Rfam family "Bacterial small subunit ribosomal RNA", at positions 14 to 232 of the family's 1533-position model. The record is from RNAcentral.